Molecule: ribosomal RNA, 660 nt
Filed under: Pluteus sp. AJ-2015o
Lineage: Eukaryota; Fungi; Basidiomycota; Agaricomycetes; Agaricales; Pluteaceae
Description: eukaryotic LSU rRNA
Rfam family: 5.8S ribosomal RNA (bases 247-400)
Source: RNAcentral
AAGGUUUCCGUAGGUGAACCUGCGGAAGGAUCAUUAUUGAACAAACCGGCGGGCUAAGUUGCUGGCCUCCUCGGAGGCAUGUGCACGGUCCGCCAUUGUUUCAUCCUUCUUCCACCUGUGCACUUCUGUGGGCCCACUCCAGCGCGCACACCGCGUGCUGGAAUCUGGUGCCUACGUUUUCACUAUCCACACCAUUGAAUGUUCAGAAUGUAUGUAUCAGGCAUUCGUGCCUAUAAAACCUUAUACAACUUUCAACAACGGAUCUCUUGGCUCUCGCAUCGAUGAAGAACGCAGCGAAAUGCGAUAAGUAAUGUGAAUUGCAGAAUUCAGUGAAUCAUCGAAUCUUUGAACGCACCUUGCGCUCCUUGGUAUUCCGAGGAGCAUGCCUGUUUGAGUGUCAUUAAAUCAUCAACCACCUCAUCUUUGAGAGGGUUGGACUUGGAGGCUCUGCUGGCCCCGACAGGGACCGGCUCCUCUGAAAAGCAUUAGCAGGGACCUAUCUCGUGUGCAACCGCUUGCAGCAUUCUCUGCAGCCUUGUGUGACUAGUAGUCAUUGACACUUGGUGUGGUUGCAUCGUAUCCCAGCUUCCAGCCGUCCACUUGUGGACAAUUCACCUGACCAAUUGACCUCAAAUCAGGUAGGACUACCCGCUGAACUUA